UACGGAGGGGGCUAGCGUUGUUCGGAAUUACUGGGCGUAAAGCGCACGUAGGCGGAUCAGUCAGUCAGGGGUGAAAUCCCGGGGCUCAACCCCGGAACUGCCUUUGAUACUGCUGGUCUGGAGGUCGAGAGAGGCGAGUGGAAUUCCGAGUGUAGAGGUGAAAUUCGUAGAUAUUCGGAGGAACACCAGUGGCGAAGGCGGCUCGCUGGCUCGAUACUGACGCUGAGGUGCGAAAGCGUGGGGAGCAAACAGG
RNAcentral lists this ribosomal RNA (253 nucleotides) under uncultured bacterium. RNAcentral's name for it is "partial 16S ribosomal RNA". It matches the Rfam family "Bacterial small subunit ribosomal RNA", at positions 524 to 776 of the family's 1533-position model. The record is from RNAcentral. RNAcentral also lists the same sequence under 1 other name.